RNAcentral lists this ribosomal RNA (480 nucleotides) under uncultured bacterium. Its description in RNAcentral is "partial 16S ribosomal RNA". It matches the Rfam family "Bacterial small subunit ribosomal RNA", at positions 28 to 507 of the family's 1533-position model. The record is from RNAcentral.
GAUGAACGCUAGCGGCAGGCCUAACACAUGCAAGUCGAGGGGUAGAAGGAGCUUGCUCCUUUGAGACCGGCGCACGGGUGCGUAACGCGUAUGCAGUCUACCUUGUACAGGGGAAUAGCCCAGAGAAAUUUGGAUUAAUGCCCCAUAGUAUAUAACCUUCGCAUGUUGGUUAUAUUAAAGUUCCAACGGUACAAGAUGAGCAUGCGUCCCAUUAGUUAGUUGGUAAGGUAACGGCUUACCAAGACGAUGAUGGGUAGGGGUCCUGAGAGGGAGAUCCCCCACACUGGUACUGAGACACGGACCAGACUCCUACGGGAGGCAGCAGUGAGGAAUAUUGGUCAAUGGUCGCAAGACUGAACCAGCCAUGCCGCGUGCAGGAAGACGGUCCUAUGGAUUGUAAACUGCUUUUAUACAGGAAGAAACCCUCCCACGUGUGGGAGCUUGACGGUACUGUAGGAAUAAGGAUCGGCUAACUCCGUG